AAGUCGUAACAAGGUUUCCGUAGGUGAACCUGCGGAAGGAUCAUUAAUACGCUUUUGUUUGUAACAAAACAAAACGUUUAAAACUCCAAAAGAAAUAGUGGAAAUAUAACUUCCGGAUGCGAAUGUUGGGAACUGAGUAAAAUCGGUUCUUUUGAAAAAGGGACUUCAAGCAAUUGACACUUCAGAGUAGAGCAGUGAGGUGAAAUUCUCUUUUCGAAGAGAGUUUGGUUCUAAAAAACAUUUGUAUCCGGUUAUCAUAACCUGUUCUACAAAUUCUAUCAAACAAUAAACCCCAUGUAUAACAACUUGAACUAAACAUUUUUUUGUUAUCCUUCUUGCACUUGUGUGAGAAGAUACUACGAAGAAAAAACCUGAACUUAAGAACAACUCUUAACAACGGAUAUCUUGGUUCUC
This 414-nucleotide unclassified non-coding RNA is filed under the name fungal sp. Its description in RNAcentral is "partial internal transcribed spacer region". The stretch from base 1 to 46 matches the Rfam family "Eukaryotic small subunit ribosomal RNA", at positions 1786 to 1831 of the family's 1831-position model. The record is from RNAcentral. Lineage: Eukaryota; Fungi.